This 64-nucleotide transfer RNA is filed under the name Odontoglaja guamensis. RNAcentral's name for it is "tRNA-Ala". Lineage: Eukaryota; Metazoa; Mollusca; Gastropoda; Cephalaspidea; Aglajidae. The record is from RNAcentral.
AGUAUUAUACUUUAUAUAGAAGAGUUAGUUUGCAACUAAACAGAAGACGGAUGUUUUAAUACUA